This 690-nucleotide long non-coding RNA is filed under the name Monodelphis domestica (gray short-tailed opossum). Its description in RNAcentral is "lncRNA (ENSMODG00000044315.1)". The record is from RNAcentral. Lineage: Eukaryota; Metazoa; Chordata; Mammalia; Didelphimorphia; Didelphidae.
AUGGAAUUCAUGUUCUGGAAAGCAAAGGAACUGGAUCUACAACCAAGAAUCAACUACCCAGCAAAACUGACCAUAUUCUUACAGGGGAAGGUAUGGUCAUUUAACAAAAUAGAAGACUUCCAAGAAUUCCUAAAGAAAAGACCUGACUUAAACACUAAAUUUGAACCCCUAACACAGAACUCAAGAGAUUCAUUAAAAGUGGAAGACUACAUAAGUCAUGGAGAGGAUACAGUCGAUAUUACUGGAGGGAUGACCUACAUUGAAGAAAUUAUGGUGCUUGAAAUUCUCAACCUUGCCUGCCAGAGCUAUGGUAUCUGCCUGCCCUUUCCUGUUUUGGAUGACAUCUCUGGACCUGUCCUUUUGCCUGCUGACUAGCCUGUGGAAUCUUCUGGACCCUUCUAGCAUGAUUUGGUGCAGUGGUUCCAAAUGCAUUGGCUGAAAAAAAAAUAUGGCCCCUGGGUGGGGCACAUAGUUAAAGCAGGGGCCUAUGAAUCCAUCCAUAUGUGGACCUAACAUCAUUUUUUAUCUUUAUUUAGCUACAACAAAAUAUGCUUACUAAUAUAAACAAGCAAAUGUAUCUUAUAUAGACUAAAUUUAAAGUGUAUUGCAAACAUAUAGAAAGAGUUAUUUUUCAAAUAUAUGUAGGUAAUAUUGUGAUGAAUAAAAGAUUCAUUUAAAAGUGUUAAUACA